Molecule: ribosomal RNA, 304 nt
Filed under: uncultured bacterium
Lineage: Bacteria
Description: bacterial SSU rRNA
Rfam family: Bacterial small subunit ribosomal RNA
Source: RNAcentral
GACGAACGCUGGCGGCGUGCUUAACACAUGCAAGUCGAACGGAAAGGCCCCUUCGGGGGUACUCGAGUGGCGAACGGGUGAGCAACACGUGGGCAACCUGCCCCUAGCUCUGGGAUAACUCCGGGAAACCGGUGCUAAUACUGGAUAUCGACCUUUGCGGGCAUCCGCUUCGGUCAAAAGUUUUUCGGCUAGGGAUGGGCCCGCGGCCUAUCAGCUUGUUGGUGGGGUAAUGGCCUACCAAGGCGACGACGGGUAGCCGGCCUGAGAGGGCGACCGGCCGCACUGGGACUGAGACACGGCCCAG